This is a non-coding RNA of Podarcis lilfordi (Lilford's wall lizard), 74 nucleotides long. The record is from the annotation of a GenBank genome assembly. NCBI's taxonomy places the organism in Eukaryota, Metazoa, Chordata, Lepidosauria, Squamata, Lacertidae.
GCCCUGAUUAUCUCAGCUAGUAGAACAUUAAAUUCUUAAUCUCAGGGUCAUGGGUUUGAACCCCACACUGGGCA